This 370-nucleotide ribosomal RNA is filed under the name uncultured bacterium. Its description in RNAcentral is "bacterial SSU rRNA". It matches the Rfam family "Bacterial small subunit ribosomal RNA", at positions 1 to 334 of the family's 1533-position model. The record is from RNAcentral.
CUAUGCGCCUUGCCAGCCCGCUCAGUCAGAGUUUGAUCCUGGCUCAGGACGAACGCUGGCGGCGUGCUUAACACAUGCAAGUCGAACGGUGAAGGGACUGGUUUUGCUGGUUCUGGAUGAGUGGCGAACGGGUGAGUAACACGUGAGUAACCUGCCCCCUUCUUCUGGAUAACCGCAUGAAAGUGUGGCUAAUACGGGAUAUUCUGGGUCUGUCGCAUGGUGGGCCUGGGAAAGAUUGCGCUUUUUGGUGUUUUGGUGGGGGAUGGGCUCGCGGCCUAUCAGCUUGUUGGUGGGUGAUGGCUACCAAGGCGGUGACGGGUAGCCGGCCUGAGAGGGUGGACGGUCACACUGGGACUGAGACACGGCCCAG